Molecule: ribosomal RNA, 254 nt
Filed under: uncultured bacterium
Lineage: Bacteria
Description: partial 16S ribosomal RNA
Rfam family: Bacterial small subunit ribosomal RNA
Source: RNAcentral
UACAGAGGGUGCGAGCGUUGUCCGGAAUCACUGGGCGUAAAGGGCGCGUAGGUGGCGCGACAAGUCAGUGGUGAAAGCUCGACGCUCUAACGCGAGUCGGCCACUGAUACUGUUGGGCUUGAGCACUGUAGAGGCUAAUGGAAUUCCGGGUGUAGCGGUGGAAUGCGUAGAGAUCCGGAAGAACACCGGUGGCGAAGGCGGUUAGCUGGGCAGUUGCUGACACUGAGGCGCGACAGCGUGGGGAGCAAACAGGG